UGUCAAAGUGAAGAAAUUCAACCAAGCGC
RNAcentral lists this non-coding RNA (29 nucleotides) under Arabidopsis thaliana (thale cress). Lineage: Eukaryota; Viridiplantae; Streptophyta; Magnoliopsida; Brassicales; Brassicaceae. The record is from RNAcentral. RNAcentral also lists the same sequence under 1 other name.